Molecule: small RNA, 2681 nt
Filed under: Pan troglodytes (chimpanzee)
Lineage: Eukaryota; Metazoa; Chordata; Mammalia; Primates; Hominidae
Description: retained intron
Source: RNAcentral
UAUGCGCAGGAAGAAGAGCACCAGGGGAGACCAGGCUCCAGGCCACGACAGGGAGGCUGAGGCUGCUGUGAAAGAGAAGGAAGAGGGGCCAGAGCCCAGGCUCACCAUUGAUGAGGCCCCUCAGGAGAGGCUCAGGGAGACUGAGGGACCUGAUUUCCCAUCGCCUUCUGUCCCCCUAAAGGCUUCAGAUCCUGAGGAGGCGUCCCAGGCCCAGGAAGAUCCUGGCCAAGGAGACCAACAGGUCUGUGCCAAGGAGGCUGACCCGGAGCUGGAGCCCGCGUCGGGGGGAGAGCAGGAGCCGCGGCCCCAGCAAGCCCAGGUAGGCGGGAGUGGCCCGUGGCUGCUCUCAACAUCCGGAGCGGACUCCGGGCGGGGAGCGCUCCUGCCCAGGGCUGCGAGCCGCCCGCGACCCAGGGCGCUCGGGGCAGGGGCGGGGAAAGAAGGGGCGCCCCGUCACUUGCCCCCUCUGCAGACCAAGGCCACGUCCCAGAUCCUGGAGAAUGGGGAGGAGGCCCCGGGGCCCGACCCCUCUCUCGACCGCAUGCUCAGCAGCAGCUCCUCGGUGUCCAGCCUUAACUCCUCCACGGUGAGGCGGGAGGGAGGGGACCCGGGCGGCCGGGGGGUGGACCCGUUCCGAUGCGUAGCCCCUGCCUGCCCCUCCCUCGCCGCGGGACCCAGCGCUGCAGCCCCCCAGCCUGCCACCUAUGACCCGGGUCUGAAGCCUCCGCGCUGCCCCCGGCCCCGACGUGAGCCCUGCGAGUGGCCCUGACUCCCACCCACUCCCGUCCGCAGCUGAGCGGCAGCCAGAUGAGCCUGUCAGGCGACGCGGAGGCGGUGCAGGUCCGCGGCUCCGUGCACUUCGCGCUGCACUACGAGCCGGGCGCCGCCGAGCUGCGCGUGCACGUGAUCCAGUGCCAGGGCCUGGCCGCCGCCCGGCGCCGCCGCUCGGACCCGUGAGUGCCCCGCCGGCCAAGCGGGGCGCGGCUGUCACAGCCCAGCCCACCAUUCACAGGGUCUCGGCCUCCUCGUCCUCAUCUUCAAAAUGGGAACAACAGCGUUAUUGGGAGGCUUGCGAUUAAGCGAGACAAUCCCUGUAAAGCGCUUAGCACGAGGCCUGGCACGUGUUCGGGGUGGUGGCUGGGGGAGCCCACAGGCAGGGGAGAAGGCUCUGGGAGGGCCCCUCCUCACCUCGGGUUCUCACCUCCCCAGCUACGUCAAAAGCUACCUCCUCCCGGAUAAGCAGAGCAAGCGCAAGACGGCGGUGAAGAAACGGAAUCUGAAUCCGGUUUUCAACGAGACUCUCCGGGUGAGGCUGUGACCACGAUGCGGUUCCCCGUUAAUGAACUGGACGCCCCUUCCUGCGGGGCUAGGUGGCAAGGGCAGCCAGUAACGUCAUUGCCCGGAGGAUCGGCGCGGGGGGGCCCAUUAACUCGUUAUCCAGUGCUGUCAGCCUCGUGGUGGGCGUGGUGAUAGUGCAGGCCCCCAUUAAUGCCCUUCGGGGCUCCCCAGAAUUCCAUCAUCGUAGGAACGCGGUAGGACCCGCCCCAGCCAACUCGCGCAGCCUCUACGCGGGCCACCAGCAGUGCUCCACUAAAGCGCACCUCCUGUCCUCAGUACUCUGUCCCGCAGGCCGAGCUUCAGGGCCGCGUGCUGAGCCUGUCUGUGUGGCACCGCGAAAGCCUGGGUCGCAACAUCUUUCUGGGUGAAAUUGAAGUGCCCCUGGACACGUGGGACUGGGGCUCUGAGCCCACCUGGCUCCCCCUGCAGCCCCGGGUGAGGCAGCCAGGCCGCGCGGGGAGACCUGCGGCCCGGGUCUCCUGCAUUUACCCCACCAGGCUCUCCCGCAGCCCCCUCACACCCCGCCUUCGACAGAGCCUCCCCUCAACCUCUUAACCUCACGGCCCCAGGCGAAGCCCGGCCGGCUACGGCCCCUUCCCCGAGGGCGCUAGGACCCCUAGGUUCUGCCCCUGCAGGCCCCGCCGUCUCUUCUAGCCGCACCCCAUCCGGGUCUGCAGACCCCACCCUCCUGAGGCCCCUUUCCAUUAGCCCCUGCUCCACGAUAAGCCCGCCUCUCGCAGGUCCCACCCUCUCCCGACGACCUUCCGAGCCGCGGGUUACUCGCCCUGUCCCUCAAGUACGUCCCCGCCGGCUCCGAGGGCGCAGGACUGCCCCCGAGCGGGGAGCUGCACUUCUGGGUGAAGGAGGCUCGGGACCUCCUGCCGCUGCGGGCAGGAUCCCUGGACACUUACGUACAAUGCUUCGUGCUGCCUGAUGACAGCCGGGCCAGCCGCCAGUGUACAAGGGUUGUGCGACGCAGCCUCAGCCCUGUGUUCAAUCACACCAUGGUGUACGAUGGCUUUGGGCCUGCUGACCUGCGCCAGGCUUGUGCCGAGCUCUCCCUCUGGGACCAUGGGGCCCUGGCCAACCGCCAGCUGGGGGGCACACGCCUCAGCCUGGGCACCGGCAGCAGCUAUGGGCUGCAGGUGCCCUGGAUGGAUUCCACACCUGAGGAGAAGCAGCUGUGGCAAGCCCUCCUGGAGCAGCCGUGCGAGUGGGUGGAUGGCCUUCUACCCCUCAGAACCAACCUGGCCCCCAGGACGUAGCCCCACCAAGCCUCUCUCUCUGGACCCCCAUCUCAGGGCCUGCCCUUGGCUAAAGUCAAUAAAGUCUAUUCUAAGAGC